Molecule: long non-coding RNA, 2531 nt
Organism: Cajanus cajan (pigeon pea)
Lineage: Eukaryota; Viridiplantae; Streptophyta; Magnoliopsida; Fabales; Fabaceae
Source: RefSeq, a predicted model, not a curated record
CUCUCUAUUCGUCGAUCUGUUUCCUCGAUUCGAUUUAGAAAAGAGGAUUUGAUUUGAUUAUUCAUGAUUAUAUGUUGAUAAUUGAUUGAUUCGAUGUGUGGAUGUGCAAAUUAAAGGUUCGAUAAGGCUUCCGCUGAUGAUGCCGGAGCACCGUAAGCUUAUGGUGUUCUCUUUGUUUGUUUGUUGAUUAGCUUGUGUGUUUCGGUGUAAACCCUGUGGUGGUACGUGGUGGCUUUGUUGAAUUCAAUUUUGCAAAUGUUGUUGUUUGUUUUCAUCGGUUGUUGAUUCUGUUGUGCCGAGGGCUCAAUCGUGUUAUGAAUAGCGCCAGACUGUGGUUGGGUUGAGUGGUUUGGAUGCUGACCAUUAUAGGAAAUGCUUUGUGCUGUGUUUCUGUGUUGUGGGGAUGUUGCGAAAUUGCAGCCAAAUUGUGGGGAUAGCUUAAUUAUUUCGUGUUAGCACUUUUACCACUCCAUUUUCUGUUCAGAGCCAAAUUCUGAUAGCCUACUGAUGCGCCUGGCCGAGCCCAUAAAUUUGCUUGCCAGAUUCAAGUAGUUCAUACAUUUUGGCCUGAUCCAAGAACAAGUGCACGCAGAGCAGGCUUAUAUUUUGUAUUUUUAUCUUCUUUUUUCCCAAUCUAAAACACUUGGACAACUUGUUAUAAGACAAUUUAUCCUCUGUCAACUUAUUAUAAGACGUUGAUAUCCUUUUUUUGGGGGAUGGAGGGGAUUGAUUUCAUUGUCUCUUUACCCCCCAACAUCUGUUUUGCAGUUCAUAAAACGGAGGAGCGAUGACAGGGACUUUUUAAACUUUUAACUUAAAUAUGAUAUAUAUGAGACAUCUUUUUCCUUCUUUUUUUGUGUUGUGCGAUCUGCAUACUUCAUAUUCCAUUAAUAUUUCUGUUGUAGUCCUUCCUUUUUUCCCCCUUUAAACUCCACAUCUUCCCAUCCCCUCUUUUUUAUGUUCAUUCUUUUGUUCUCAUUGCUCUAAUCAUUAAUUAUUGCUUGAAAUUAAUGGUGAAUAGGUAUUAGGUUAUGGCUUACGGUUAUUAAUUAUGAGCACAUAUUUAAUUGUGUCAUUAUUUAUUUUUAAGUACCUAUAUUUUUUUUUAUCUAUCAAAAUUACAAUGAUAGCACCAAAGUUCAAACCUAAGGUCCUAUGCAUUUAACUCCAAUCCCCCAACCACUAGGCCGAUCUUAGUAGUUCCUUUUAAGUACUUAUAUGAGUAUAGUAUAAAUUAUAAAUUAUGUUGUAUCAUGAUCUUUGGUAUAGUAGCUAUCACACUAUCCCCUAUGGUGGUUUUGAAGUUUGCCAGGAUUGAUAAGUAAGGUCUCAAUCAUAGUAGUCAAUAGCGGUUGUAGCGGCCCCAAUCGCGGCUCGUUGGAGCAAAGUGGCUCCGUGCCGCUAUAGAAAACUUGUUGCAGAGCACUUUAAAGUAGCAACCGCGAAAGCAACAGAGCGUGGCGACGCAAUGGUCUGUCUUCUUCUCUGGCAGAUUUCUCCAGAUCUGUCUUCUUCUUCGAUGGCACCAGAUCUGUCUUCUCCAGCGUAUCAUUUUCAGAUUUUUCUUCUUCCAAGAGGGGAGGUAGCGAUGGCUAAUGAGUUAAGGGUUAGAGGCUCGAAGUAAAAAAAAAUUAGGGUUGGAAAAGUUGGGUCAAAUGGGCCCAAAUUUUAUUUUCUCUUUUGGUUUGGUUAUAGGCCUAGGUAAAGUUUAUUUUUACUUCUCUUUUUUUCUUACAGUAACUUAUCUUUAUUUUUAAUUAUUAUUAUAAUUCAGAUAAUAUUUUAAGUAAUAAAAAAUUUAGAGUUCCCUGCAAAGUAUAUUUGGGGAAGAUGGGCAGGUGUGUUUCACUUUUCCAUUGAAAAUAGCAAAAAUCAUCUCCCUACAUUUUUUUUAGCUUAAAUAUGUUUUUAGUCCAUCAAAUUUAGGGGAAAUUUGUUUUUGGUUUCUCAAAUUUAAAAUUGUUGUUUUUAGUUCUUUUAAUUUUCAAAAAUCUUGUUUUAUUUUCUCAGGUCAUAAAGAAUAUAUCUUAAAGUGACAAGUUGAGAUAGUUAUACAAUAUCAAUUGGAUUUAAUGUGAUGUUUUCACUAACAAAGACAUUAGUAGCUAGAUUUUAUGUGACAGUAUAUGACAGAUUCUCUAACAAAAUUGAGUAUAAGGACUAAAAUAAGAUUUUUUGAAAUUUUGGAGACCAAAAAGACUAAUUUUAAAUUUGAGGGACUGAAAACAUAUUUAAAUCUUUUUUCAUAAAAAGGAAACAAAUUGUUAACUCUUUUUUUUAUUUUUUUAUUUUUCUGUUGGUGAUUCUACCAGGUGUUACCAAUCCUGGAUAGGUAAUUAGAUACUGUUGGAUGGAAAAUUGGAGUGGAACAAGGCCUUGUUCUGGGCAGGGAUUGUGUGUAUCGGUGUUGUGCUACAAUGAUUGCACUAUUCCGAAAGAGUUCCCUGCAAAAUAAAUUUGGGGGAGAUGGGCAGUUGUGUUUCACUUUGCCAUUGAAAAUAACAACAAUCAUCCCCCCUACAUUUUUUUUU